AUAUGCUGAGUGCCCACUGUACACCAGGCACGCUUAAAGGACCUGGACACCCAGGAGUGGGCAGAGCAGACAUAACUGGCCCACCUCACACACGUUCUGGUAGGAAAGAUGGACAACACACAAGGAAACCAGUGGGGAUCCCUGCCCCAAACUGCACGAUGGCUCCUGGCUAAGAACAGCCCCAGGCCACAGAGGAAGGGGGCUCCAAGACACGCUUCCCGAAUGAGCAGGAAGGACCUGUGCGCAGGGGAUCUGACAAGGACACAUCUGUCGCAGCGAGCUGGGGUGAUCAGCAAGUGACAGUUGGAACCGGAUUUACAGGCCUCACCUUAUAAAGGAAAAUGUGGGUCCUGUCCACCCUAUAAAAGAUCCCAUUCUUACUGGUUAUAUAAAUUCACAAAUUGAUUGUAUUUAAAAACUU
Long non-coding RNA from Callorhinus ursinus (northern fur seal), 421 nucleotides. RefSeq lists it as uncharacterized. The record is from RefSeq and is a predicted model, not a curated record. Lineage: Eukaryota; Metazoa; Chordata; Mammalia; Carnivora; Otariidae.